GAGAUUAUACUUUCAGGGAUCAUUUCUGUAGUAUGUAACUAGAGGAGUGUUUCUGAAUGUGUAGGGUACUGGAAAUCAUGAUGCUGGGCAGCAGCUUUUUCUCCUGAGCAGGAGGCUGGCUUGUGGUGUUGCCUGGUUGCAGCAGCCAUUUCUUCUCAAUGACUGUUCUCAGUUUUCCUUUGGGAAGGUGAGAGGGAAAGAACACAAGCUGAG
This is a small nucleolar RNA of Cynocephalus volans (Philippine flying lemur), 213 nucleotides long. RefSeq annotates it as small nucleolar RNA U3. The transcript has a single exon. The record is from RefSeq and is a predicted model, not a curated record. Lineage: Eukaryota; Metazoa; Chordata; Mammalia; Dermoptera; Cynocephalidae.